This 440-nucleotide ribosomal RNA is filed under the name uncultured bacterium. Its description in RNAcentral is "partial 16S ribosomal RNA". It matches the Rfam family "Bacterial small subunit ribosomal RNA", at positions 338 to 795 of the family's 1533-position model. The record is from RNAcentral.
CCUACGGGUGGCAGCAGUGGGGGAUAUUGCACAAUGGGGGAAACCCUGAUGCAGCGACGCCGCGUGAGUGAAGACGGAUUUCGGGAUGUAAAGCUCUAUCAGCAGGGAAGAAAAUGACAGUACCUGACCAAGAAGCCACGGCUAACUACGUGCCAGCAGCCGCGGUAAUACGUAGGGGGCCAGCGUUAUCCGGAUUUACUGGGCGUAAAGGGAGCGUAGACGGAUAUGUAAGUCUGGAGUGAAAGCCCGGGGCUCAACCCCGGGACUGCUUUUGAAACUGUGUAACUAGAGUGCAGGAGAGGCAGGCGGAAUUCCUGGUGUAGCGGUGAAAUGCGUAGAUAUCAGGAAGAACACCGGCGGCGAAGGCGGCCUUCUGGACUGAAACUGACGUUGAGGCUCGAAAGCGUGGGGAGCAAACAGGAUUAGAUACCCUUGUAGUC